This is a non-coding RNA of Ictidomys tridecemlineatus (thirteen-lined ground squirrel), 72 nucleotides long. The record is from Rfam. Lineage: Eukaryota; Metazoa; Chordata; Mammalia; Rodentia; Sciuridae.
GGGGUUGUGGCUCAGAGGCAGAGUGCUCACCUAUCAUGUGUGAGUCACUGGGUUCGAUCCUCAGCACCACCU